RNAcentral lists this ribosomal RNA (163 nucleotides) under uncultured bacterium. RNAcentral's name for it is "partial 16S ribosomal RNA". It matches the Rfam family "Bacterial small subunit ribosomal RNA", at positions 334 to 509 of the family's 1533-position model. The record is from RNAcentral.
GACUCCUACGGGAGGCAGCAGUGGGGAAUAUUGCACAAUGGGCGCAAGCCUGAUGCAGCGACGCCGCGUGAGGGAUGGAGGCCUUCGGGUUGUAAACCUCUUUUAUCGGGGAGCAAGCGAGAGUGAGUUUACCCGUUGAAUAAGCUCCGGCUAACUACGUGCC